GCGUCGGUAGUGCAACGGUUAGCAUACGCUAAUGGAAAAAGUGAGAUCUGGGUUCGAAUCCCGGCUGACGCA
This is a non-coding RNA of Parelaphostrongylus tenuis, 72 nucleotides long. Lineage: Eukaryota; Metazoa; Nematoda; Chromadorea; Rhabditida; Metastrongylidae. The record is from the annotation of a GenBank genome assembly.